AAUUGACGGGGGCCCGCACAAGCGGUGGAGCAUGUGGUUUAAUUCGAUGCAACGCGAAGAACCUUACCUACUCUUGACAUCCAGAGAAGUUUCCAGAGACGGAUUGGUGCCUUCGGGAACUGUGAGACAGGUGCUGCAUGGCUGUCGUCAGCUCGUGUUGUGAAAUGUUGGGUUAAGUCCCGCAACGAGCGCAACCCUUAUCCUUGUUUGCCAGCGAGUAAUGUCGGGAACUCCAGGGAGACUGCCGGUGAUAAACCGGAGGAAGGUGGGGACGACGUCAAGUCAUCAUGGCCCUUACGAGUAGGGCUACACACGUGCUACAAUGGCGCAUACAGAGGGCGGCCAACUUGCGAAAGUGAGCGAAUCCCAAAAAGUGCGUCGUAGUCCGGAUUGGAGUCUGCAACUCGACUCCAUGAAGUCGGAAUCGCUAGUAAUCGUAGAUCAGAAUGCUACGGUGAAUACGUUCCCGGGCCUUGUACACACCGCCCGUCACACCAUGGGAGUGGGCUGCAAAAGAAGUGGGUAGU
RNAcentral lists this ribosomal RNA (527 nucleotides) under Vibrio atypicus. Its description in RNAcentral is "bacterial SSU rRNA". It matches the Rfam family "Bacterial small subunit ribosomal RNA", at positions 908 to 1434 of the family's 1533-position model. The record is from RNAcentral. Lineage: Bacteria; Pseudomonadati; Pseudomonadota; Gammaproteobacteria; Vibrionales; Vibrionaceae.